Molecule: long non-coding RNA, 331 nt
Organism: Zalophus californianus (California sea lion)
Lineage: Eukaryota; Metazoa; Chordata; Mammalia; Carnivora; Otariidae
Exons: 3
Source: RefSeq, a predicted model, not a curated record
UUCAAUUCUAAGUUCAGCUUUAAAGUCAAUAAAGGAAUUUUGAAAACAUUGUUUAUAGAAAGUUUCAUGGAGGGAAAAAAUCAAAAUAUAGAAAGCAAGACAGUUGAAAUGUUCUGGAAUAGUCUUCACAGGAGAGAGUGAGUUCAUCAAGGGAAGAGGCACUGUCUUUUCAUUUUUGCGUCACUGGGGCUAGACAGAAUAUUUGGCCUAUGGAAUGAAGAAGAGUAGUGCCAACUCAAGAAAGAACCAACUAUUGGCAUAUCCACCUGUCAUCGCCCUUGGGCUGAGAACGGAUUGUCAAAAAUCUCAGUGUAAAUAAGAUCAAUGGACA